This 171-nucleotide ribosomal RNA is filed under the name Triticum aestivum (bread wheat). RNAcentral describes it as "partial small subunit ribosomal RNA". The record is from RNAcentral. Lineage: Eukaryota; Viridiplantae; Streptophyta; Magnoliopsida; Poales; Poaceae.
AUGGCUUUGGCAAUCCCAGAUGCUUUCAAGAACACGGUACACAAGCUGUGCUACUGGAACAUUAUGAAGAAGUACAGGGAACACCUCGCAUACCCGUACAACCUACAUGAAGACUUUAAGGAUGAAUUCACAUCAAUCCUCAACUGGCCCCUCAUGCCAACUGAGUUUUAG